Erigeron canadensis is the source of this 1039-nucleotide long non-coding RNA. RefSeq lists it as uncharacterized. NCBI's taxonomy places the organism in Eukaryota, Viridiplantae, Streptophyta, Magnoliopsida, Asterales, Asteraceae. The record is from RefSeq and is a predicted model, not a curated record. The transcript has 3 exons.
GGGUGUUGCAAGUCUAGUACUACACACAUUUUUAACAUAUACUACUAUAUGCUUUAAAAGAGAAGGGGCAUAAGGAAUUCAUUCCUUUCAUGUUCACGGCUAGAUCAAAAUGAAACCAAACUAAGAGUUUGGUAACUUUAUAUUUAAGUUUGGUGAUUAAGGUCUAGCAGCUUUUGGGUAUUGUUUGAGGUGUUCGUGUGGAUCAACUGUAGAGAUAUUCAUAUUAUUGAAUAUUGUUUUUGUCACACAAGAUUUCAUCUACUUGGAAGGACCCUCAUCUUCUUGAUCCAAGAUAUGAUACCAUUAAUUAUGAACUUAACUUUUUAGCAAUCCACGACAGAACUAGACUCCUUAGUUUAAGUAUUUAGCCAACGAAUAGCAAAAAAUUGGAAGUGAAGGUUCGAGUUGGGUGUUUACAUAUUCAAACGGGAAAACAGGUUAAACAAUAUCAUUCACUUUGUGUUAUAUAGAUAUAACUUGAUGACUUUUAUCCAUAAUUAUUAUGAUAGGCUGAUAUGUACAAAAGUAUCAAAUGACUACAUCUAUCAACAAGUAAGUUAUCUCAGCAACAUUAUAUAUCAUGAAAACAACUUCAUAAUGAUCCAUAUGUACUACCAUAUCGAAACAUAUUUCACCGUUUCAGAAAUACAUUGAUAUACGAAAGUUUUAACAAGUGACAUGAAUUUCCAGAUUUAAGUCGAAUUCUAACCUUCGCUCUGAUACCACUGAUGCCCAGAUCAAAAAGUGAAAUCCUAAGGAGAGGAUUCAUACAAGGACAAAUGCCAAAGCUCUAUAUGCAACUUCUUUGUGAUAGCAAUAUAGCAUUGCUUUGGUGAACUUCUGAUUUUUAGGUAUCUACUUUAUCUAAGACUUAUGAUACUGUGAUAGAGAGUCUAACACUCUAACUUCUUAUUUCUUAAUGAUCUAAUGCAGGCCCCGAAAUUACUAACCUUGUAAUGGUUCAUAGUAUUCUGUAAUAUAUGCUGUCUAUACAACAUCAAUAUAUCACACCACAAUUCUGGUCCCUUUAUAUAUUACA